This 68-nucleotide transfer RNA is filed under the name Strophopteryx fasciata. Its description in RNAcentral is "tRNA-Trp". The record is from RNAcentral. Lineage: Eukaryota; Metazoa; Arthropoda; Insecta; Plecoptera; Taeniopterygidae.
AAGGCUUUAAGUUAACUAAACUAAUAGCCUUCAAAGCUGUAAAUAAAAUAAUUACAUUUUAAGCCUUA